UAAUACUAACUGUAUAGAAAUCAAUGGCCAUUAUCCUUGACUACCAAGAACUUUGGUCCUGGUUUGUUUCUGCAACUGAAUGCAUUGCUAAAUAAAUCAUUGUCUGAAUGUAACUAUUUGUUUAUUUAUCUUUUAUUCCACUGCAACAGUUACAGUGACCAAUGAAAGGACUGAGACUGCAAGUCUCUGUGUGACUUACUGGACAUUUGCUGAAGGAACACCCUAGCGUGCUUUGAUACGUUUUCUACUGAUGGACUUCCUCAGUGAAGGACGUCCCAUCCCUGGACCUCCAUGUCCUCCAGAACCACAUCCAGACAGAUCUUCAUAGAGGGUGGGAUCCCCACUUGCUACGGGAAGAAGGCCAGGGGUAGGUGAAGCAAACAAUUUUUAGGGCACCUUUUCUAGCUCUUUCCUUAUGCCAGGAGCUGUGAGGUCCUUAAGAAGGCUACUCAGAUUCCCAGAAAACUGCUGAAUACCACGAAUGCUUCAGUCUACUGAGAAGACAGCCUGUGCUGUCUGUGUGCAGGGUUGUGACUACAGCUCACAGUAUAUCCACACCUGCUGCUUUGUCACUGGCCUGUUACCACAGGACUUCAAGAAUCAUUGGAGCCCAGUAACUAGAUAAAAGUCAAGACAACUAGCAAUGGCUCUGGAUGUAGUGGAUGACCUUGGUGUCUUUGGCAUCUGACCAAGCUCGAAGUGCUCCAUAGCACCUGCUUCUGCCACAUUCAUGGCCUGUGGAAACAAAAUGUUCACAUCUACCUGGGGAAGUCUUCACAUGCUUGGGGCAGACACCUCAUUAACUCACCAACACCUUUGAGGCCUGUCAGUUACAGUCAACCUGUUUUAGCCUAUCUGACAAGAUGGUUUUACUGGGGUGUGGCCAUUGCGCACACUAUAGUUUCUUGGAACCACAGAUGAAAGCUGGAUGGCAAGUGGACACCAAAGGUGGAUAAGCAGGCCUGAAAAGGCUCAGCAGCUCUCACACCAGAGGAACUAGUUCUCCCUGAAUACUUCACAUAACCAGAUUUAUCUGCUGCCACUAAAAAGAAGCAGAGAGCUUGAAGUAUGAUAAUUCAGAAGACAAAGAGGAUAGGCUUACAACCAAAAAUAACUUACCCAGAAAAAAGGGAGUGUAAUUCUACAGAGAGAAAAAUGGAUUUUUAAUGGAAAAAUACUUCCAAGCAUUCUUGAUGAAUAGACCAGAGCUGCAUAGAAACUCUGAAGUGCAAACAUAAGAGUCAAGAAACAUAAAAAGACAAACCUGAGUGAGCAAUCAUGAGAUUAAACAAUAAACUAUUUACAUUCUAAUAUA
Molecule: long non-coding RNA, 1315 nt
Organism: Vombatus ursinus (common wombat)
Lineage: Eukaryota; Metazoa; Chordata; Mammalia; Diprotodontia; Vombatidae
Exons: 3
Source: RefSeq, a predicted model, not a curated record